UACGAAGGGGGCUAGCGUUGCUCGGAAUCACUGGGCGUAAAGGGCGCGUAGGCGGCCAUUCAAGUCGGAGGUGAAAGCCCAGGGCUCAACCCUGGAAUUGCCUUCGAUACUGUCUGGCUAGAGACCGGAAGAGGUAAGUGGAAUUCCGAGUGUAGAGGUGAAAUUCGUAGAUAUUCGGAAGAACACCAGUGGCGAAGGCGGCUCACUGGCCCGUUACCGACGCUCAGGCGCGACAGCGUGGGGAGCAAACAGG
RNAcentral lists this ribosomal RNA (253 nucleotides) under uncultured bacterium. RNAcentral's name for it is "partial 16S ribosomal RNA". It matches the Rfam family "Bacterial small subunit ribosomal RNA", at positions 524 to 776 of the family's 1533-position model. The record is from RNAcentral.